This 5673-nucleotide long non-coding RNA is filed under the name Triticum aestivum (bread wheat). Its description in RNAcentral is "long non-coding RNA (TAES_LNC004351)". Lineage: Eukaryota; Viridiplantae; Streptophyta; Magnoliopsida; Poales; Poaceae. The record is from RNAcentral.
UAUUUUUUUAUUUUUUUCUUUUCUUUUUCUCUUUUUUCUGUCUUUUUUUUUCUUUUUUUCUUUUUUUUUCUCUCAUUGUCCGAAGUCUCAUGCCGACUUGUGGGGGAAUCAUAGUCUCCAUCAUCCUUUCCUCACUGGGGCGCUCCUCUAAAAUGAAUAAUGAUGGUCAUCACACUUCUGCUUACUUAUAACUCAAAAGAAAUAAAAAUUACAACUCAAUACCUAUGACAAUUCAUGAACAUCAAGUAAAGGCCAAUACAUAGCAUAAGCAGUUUCUUGCAAUUUUUUCGUGUGGAAACAUAAAGAGGCGGAGAUGUAGUUCCUCUCUCAUAAUAAUUGCAAGUAGGAGCAGCAAGCACAUGCAUAAUAUAUUCAUUAAAAUCAUCAUGUGCAAAGGUAAAAGGCAACCUUUCGAUAUAAUCCUUAAUAAGUGCAAACUUCUCCGAUAUAGUGUAGUUUGGAUAAUUCAAAAAGAUAACAGGACUAUCAUGUGUGGGUGCAAUAGCAACAAUUUCAUUAUUAACAUAAGGAACUAUAGCAAGUUCAUCUCCAUAAGCAUAAUUCAAAUUGGCAUCUUGGCCAUAAUCAUAGCAAGCAUCAAGUUCAUCAAAUUGGGAUAUUUCAAAAGAAUCCAAGGGAUGAUAGCAAUCAUCAUAGCAUUCAUCCUUCGGUAAGAACGAAGGGACAUUAAACAAUGUGUGAGGUGAAGAGUUACUCCAUUAGAAGGUGGGCACGGGUAGCUAAUCCGCUCUUCCCCCUUUUGUUCUUCGCUCUCCUCAUCAUCUUUUUCAUCCAAUGAGCUCGCAGUAUCAUUAAUUUCUUCUUCCAUAGACUCCUGCAAAAUGUUAAUCUCUUCUUGGACAGCGGAGAUUUUCUCAAUAAAUUCAUCAAUAUAGAAAUUAUAUUUAUAACUAUCAUAGAAAUAUUUAAGGAUGGAAAAAAUUUCAGGUCUAUAAACAUCAUCAUCAGAAGCUUCAUACUUUUCAAACAAAGAUUUAAUUUCAUAAGCACCCUUAAACGCAACAAAUUCUUUAGUUCAUUCCACAUCAUAAUAAUCAUAUCUACCAUUAGCAUAAGAAGCUAAGGUUUCAUUAUCAUUAAAUUUGCAUGAAAAGGGAAGGUGUGGAUCAUUCAUCCUAGAGCAACAAGUACAAUCAUAUCUCAAGCAUAAAUCCCGAGCAUACCAAUACAACAUAUAAAUUUGAUGCCAAAAGUUUCCCUUUUUGUGUCAACCGAUAACCCCUAAAGUAUUCAUGUUGAUCCAAUGUUACUCCCAUUAUCUUGUUGAAUGGGGUUUUCUCAGGAUUAUGAAAGUAGUGCAUAAUAUUUUUCACAUAAUGAGCAUCGAGGGUUUUAGGAGGUUCACCAUCUCCAUGUGUAGCAAGUAGUACUAAUUUUUUUGGUGUUUCGUGUUCCAUAUCCAUAACUUGAGAUAGAGGACAACUUAUAACAGAGAAUAAAAACUACUUAGUGAUAAAGCAAACAAGCACACACAAGAAUAUUCACCCCACGCUAUUGCUCCCUGGCAACGGCGCCAGAAAAAGGUCUUGAUAACCCACAACUAUAGGGGAUCAUUUGUAGCCUUCUUCGAUAAAUAAGAGUGUCGAACCCAACUAGGAGCUAAAGGGAGAACAAAUAUUCCCUCAAGUUUAGUCGACCACCGAUACAACUCUAUGCACACCUGAUGUUUUCUUUACCGAAAACAAGUAUGAAACUAUUUUGUAGGUGUGAUGCUAGAACUACUUUGCAUGAAUAAAACUAGAAGUGCUUUGCAAUGAAAUGAAAGUUAUGUGUUUAGGAAAAGGGUUUGUGUCAACAAGAAAGUUAUUUGUCCCUAGGCAAUCGAUAACAAGUACCGGUAAUCAUUCUUGUAAUUUUAUAUGAGCGAGACGCAUGAGCUAACAUACUUUCUCUACUUGGAUCAUAUGCACUUAUGAUUGGACCCCUAGCAAGAAUCUGCAACUACUAAAAACCCAACCAUAGCAUUAAGUACCAAGUCCUCUUUAUCCCAUAUGCAACAACCCACCUACUCGGGUUUAAGCUUCUGUCACUCUUGCAACCCACCAUAAGCAAAUCAUGAACGUAUUGCAACACCCUAUAGCGGGGAUCCCUCUCAUUUGCGCGAGAAUGGAGGGUACCGUAGGACAGCACCAUAAAUAAAAUAUACAAUCAUACCAACCAAGAUCACGAUUAACCCACAGGACAAAACGGAUCUACUCAAACAUCAUAGGAUAACGAUACAUCAUUGGGAAAUAAUAUAUGGAGUUGAGCACCAUGUUUAAGUACAGAUUACAGCAGGGAGAAGAGGUGUUACACUGCUGCAUAGAGGGGGAGAAAGUUGGUGUUGACAGUAGCAAGAUUAGUGAUGUAGAUCGCCGUCCCGAUCGUUGCCCUGGCGGCACUCUAGCGCCACCGGAAGCGAGGGGGAGAGACCCCCCUCCUUCUUCUUCUUCCUUGGCCUCCCCCUAGAUGGGAGGAGAGUUCCCCCUCUGGUCCUUGGUCUCAAUGGUGGCGGAGGGGCGGGAGCCCCUCCAAGAUUGGAUCUCCCUCUCUGUUCUCUUCUGUUUUGCGUUCCCCUGAUCUGGCCGAAAAUCGUUUCUUAUAUUCCGGCAGAUCUGUAACUCCAAUUAUGCUGAGAUUUAACCACAUGACGAGCCCAGUUGAUAUCUUUUUUUCUUCUGAAAAUGGCUAGCCGAGUUCUUUUUCUUUGGAGAAUACCCAACCGAGGCCUACAUGCUUUUCUCAGCCCUGGUGUGCUGCAAAUCUUUCAAGACGAGGAGGGAUGUAUGUAGUAAGAAAUGGGCUUCCCCAGAAAAUGGGCUAUAAGUUGUAAGAACUGGGCUGUAAAUUUUUAAACCAAAGUCAACCGGCAAUUACAUUAAAAUAUCAUUUUUUCUGGAUUUCUCUACUCUUAUAAAAAGCAGAGUUGGUGAUGAUGGUGUGCCUGCCAUCCUGCAAUAUAGGCCGUCUGAUCUAUAUCUAACGGAUACGAAGGAAACUAUGACAAUUUACCUACAUCCUGAUAACCCACAAGUAUAGGGGAUCGUUUGUAGCCGUCUUCGAUAAAUAAGAGUGCCAAACCCAAUGAGGAGCUAAAGGCAGAACAAAUAUUCCCUCAAGUUUUACCGCCCACCGAUACAACUCUACACACACUUGACAUUUGCUUUACCGAAACAGGUAUGAAACGAUGUUGUAGGUGUGAUUCUAGAACUACUUUGGAUGAAUAAAACUAGAAGUACUUUGCAAGAAAAUAAAAGUUAAGUGUUUAGAAAAAGGAUCCUGUGACAACAAGAAGGGUAUUAGUCCCUAGGCAAUCGAUAACAAGUACCAGUAAUCAUUCUUGUAAUUUUAUAUGAGGGAGAGGCAUGAGCUAACAUACUUUCUCUACUUAGAUCAUACGCACUGAUUAUUGGACCCCUAGCAAGGGUCCGCAACUACUAAAAAUCAUUAAGGUCGUGAAACCCAACCAUAGCAUUAAGUAUCAAGGUAUCAAGUCCUCUUUACCCCAUAUGCAACAACCCACCUACUCCGGUUUAAGCUUCUGUCACUCUCGCAACCCACCAUAAGCAAAUCAUGAACGUAUUGCAACACCCUACAGCGGGGAUCCCUCACAUUUGCGCGAGAACGGAGGGCACAGUAGGAUAGCACCAUAACUAAAAAUACAAUCAUACCGACCAAGAUCACGAUUAACCCAUAGGACAAAACGGAUCUAGUGAAACAUCAUAGGAUAACCAUAGAUCAUUAGGAAAUAAUAUAUGGUGUUGAGCACCAUGUUUAAGUAGAGAUUACAGCGGGGAGAACAGGUGUAACACUGCUGCAUAGAGGGAGAGAAAGUUGGUGUUGACGGUAGCAAGAUUGUUGAUGUAGAUCGUCGUCCCGAUCGUUGCUCCGGCGGCACUCCGGCUCCACCGGAAGCGAGGGGGAGAGAGCCCCCCUCCUUCUUCUUCUUCCUUGGCCUCCCCCCUAGAUCAGAGGAGAGUUCCCCCUCUGGUCCUUGGUCUCCAUGGUGGUGGAGGGGCAAGAGCCCCUCCGAGAUUGGAUCUCCCUCUAAGUUCUCUUCUAUUUCUCAUUCCCCUGAUCUGGCCAAAAACCGUUUCUUAUAUUCCAGGAGAUCCGUAACUCCGAUUGUGCUGAGAUUUUAGAACGAUUUUUUUCCCGAUAUAAGAUUCCUUGCGCCCGAAGUAGAGCUCCAACCGACGUUCGAGGAGGGCACAACCCACCACCACGCCCCAGGGGCCUCUAGCGCGCCCUGGUGUCUUGUGGGCUGUGUGGGCCUUCGUUUGCGAAGAUUCCAACUCCCAAAAAUCACAUACAUUCCAAAAUAAGUCUUCGUGAAAUAUUAUUGCGUUUGGACUUUGUUUGAUAUGGAUUUUCUGUGAUACAAAAACACAUGCAAAAAACAGGAACUGGCACAGGGCACUGGAUUAAUAGGUUAGUCCAAUAAAUCAUAUAAAAAGGUGCCAAAAGUAUGUAAAACUUGUAUAAUAUUGGCAUGAAACAAUCAAAAAUUAUAGAUACGACGGAGACAUAUCAGCAUCCCCAAGCUUAAUUCCUGCUCAUCCUCGAGUAGGUAAAUGAUAAAAAUAAUAAUUUUUAUGUGGAAUGCUACCUAGCAUAAACUUGAUCAUAUAUCUAAUCAUCGCAUGAACAUUAAGACAUAAGUGAUUCAAAGCAAUAGUCUAUAAUUUGACAUAAAGACUUCAAUACUCAGGCAUCCCAACAAACAAUCAUGUCUUUCAAAAUAUCAACGCUAAAGAAAGCUAUCCCUACAAAAUCAUAUAGUCUUGUCAUGCUGUGUCUUCUUAACACAAAGUAUUUAUCAAGCACAACCCCGAUGACAAGCCGAGCAAUUGGUUCAUACUUUUUAACGCGCUUCAGCUUUUUCAACCCUCACGCAAUACAUGAGCGCAAGCCAUGGAUAUAGCACUAUGUGUGGAACGGAGUAUGAUGACAGGGGUAAAUAUAAAGAAGACAAAAAAGUAAGAAAGUCUCACACCGACGCGGCUAACCAACGGGCUAUGGAGAUGCCCAUCAAUUGAUAUCAACAUGAUUGCCAUGCAACGAAUGCACUAAGAGCUAUAAGUGUAUGAAAGCUCAAUAUGAAAACUAAGUGGGUGUGCAUCUAAUCCUAUAAUGAAAAAUUCCCACUAGUUUAUGAAAGUGACAACAUAGGAGAAUCUCCAUAUGAAAAACAUGGUGCCACUUUGAAGCACAAGUGUGGUAAAGGAUACUAACAAUGCGCCUUCUCUCUUUGUUUAUUUUUUUUUCUUUUUUUCUUUCUUUCUUUUCUUUUUCUCUUUUUUUCUGUCUUUUUUUCUUUCUUUCUUUUUCUUUUUUUUUCUCUCAUUGUCCGAAGUCUCAUCCCGACUUGUGGGGGAAUCAUAGUCUCCAUCAUCCUUUCCUCACUGGGGCGCUCCUCUAAAAAUGAAUACUGAUGGUCAUCACACGUCUGUUUACUUAUAACUCGAAAGAAAUAAAAAUUACAACUCAAUACCUAUGACAAUUCAUGAACAUCAAGUAAAGGCCAAUACAUAGCAUAAGCAGUUUCUUGCAAUUUUUUCGUGUGGAAACAUAAAGAGGCGGAGAUGUAGUUCCUCUCUCAUAAUAAUUGCAAGUAGGAGCAGCAAGCACAUGCAUAUUAUAUUCAUUAAAAUCGUCAUGUGCAAAGGUAAA